RNAcentral lists this microRNA (20 nucleotides) under Ciona intestinalis (vase tunicate). Its description in RNAcentral is "cin-miR-4011b-5p". The record is from miRBase by way of RNAcentral. Lineage: Eukaryota; Metazoa; Chordata; Ascidiacea; Phlebobranchia; Cionidae.
UCACAGUGGAGGUAUACCUU